AUUUUACAGUUAACGAGGCGGGCUAUAAUGCAGUUGAGCGCUGAAGGUUGGUACUUGUACCGACUGGAUGAGCAGCGAACGGGUGAGUAACGCGUGGGGAAUCUGCCUUUGAGCGGGGGACAACAUUUGGAAACGAAUGCUAAUACCGCAUAAAAACUUUAAACACAAGUUUUAAGUUUGAAAGAUGCAAUUGCAUCACUCAAAGAUGAUCCCGCGUUGUAUUAGCUAGUUGGUGAGGUAAAGGCUCACCAAGGCGAUGAUACAUAGCCGACCUGAGAGGGUGAUCGGCCACAUUGGGACUGAGACACGGCCCAAACUCCUACGGGAGGCAGCAGUAGGGAAUCUUCGGCAAUGGACGAAAGUCUGACCGAGCAACGCCGCGUGAGUGAAGAAGGUUUUCGGAUCGUAAAACUCUGUUGGUAGAGAAGAACGUUGGUGAGAGUGGAAAGCUCAUCAAGUGACGGUAACUACCCAGAAAGGGACGGCUAACUACGUGCCAGCAGCCGCGGUAAUACGUACGUCCCGGAGCGUUGUCCGGAUUUAUUGGGCGUAAAACCAGCGCAGGUGGUUUAUUAACUCUGGUGUAAACGC
RNAcentral lists this ribosomal RNA (591 nucleotides) under Lactococcus lactis. RNAcentral describes it as "bacterial SSU rRNA". It matches the Rfam family "Bacterial small subunit ribosomal RNA", at positions 19 to 601 of the family's 1533-position model. The record is from RNAcentral. Lineage: Bacteria; Bacillati; Bacillota; Bacilli; Lactobacillales; Streptococcaceae.